CGAAAUGCGAUAAGUAAUGUGAAUUGCAGAAUUCAGUGAAUCAUCGAAUCUUUGAACGCACAUUGCACUCAUUAGUAUUCUAGUGAGUAUGCCUGUUCGAGCGUCAUUUCAACCCUUAAGCCUAGCUUAGUGUUGGGACUCUACCCUAACCGGUAGUUCCCCAAAAUCAGUUGGCGGAGUUCAGUCGACUCUGAGUGUAGUAAUUUUCUCUCGCUUUAGAAGUCUUCUGGAUUACGGCCAGAAAGAGACGAGUCUCGCACUUCGGUACGUUUCUCAACUUUUUUUUCUAAUGGUUGACCUCGGAUCAGGUAGGAAUACCCGCUGAACUUAAGC
RNAcentral lists this unclassified non-coding RNA (333 nucleotides) under plant metagenome. RNAcentral's name for it is "partial contains 5.8S ribosomal RNA, internal transcribed spacer 2, and large subunit ribosomal RNA". The stretch from base 1 to 106 matches the Rfam family "5.8S ribosomal RNA", at positions 49 to 154 of the family's 154-position model. The record is from RNAcentral.